AUGAAGGAUACAAAACCAUAUUACAUGCAGCCAUUGAUACAGCGAAAGACACUUGGGAUAAAAAUAUACGACAAGUACGUGAAAGAGGGUAUGAAUGAGGAAGACGCAAUUCAACAAAGCAAUCAAAAAAUAAGCCCUCUUGUUCAACGUCAGUUUUUUAAACGCUAUACUGAGUUGUUGAAACUGAUUGUUCCCCUAGAUAAAAGCAAUGUGCACUCUGACAUUGUACGACAAAUUCAGGAUGUUGUUGAAAACAAUACAGAUGACGAAACUCAAAUUCGGCGUAUUCUCAUGAAAAAUCGAUAUCAAUUUAAUGAAUUAUUUGAUGAUGAUUACUUUGAAACGACUAGUGACACUGAGAAUACAGACGAUGAGGACGAUGAAGAGGACGCUGACGAAGAUGUACAGGAGAAAGACUAGUCCUUUAUAACAUACUGUAUUACAUGGAUUUCGUUAUAUCCAUUUUAAUAUUUGUAUUGACAACAUGUCUGCAUUGGAGAAAUAUCUAAAGGAAAUCUUACUACAUUCCAUCAAAUCCUGCUAGUUUUUCGGGACCAGACAAACUUUAUAAUUAUAUACAAAAAGAUGGGCAAUUCAAAAUUAGUAAAUAUAAGAUACGAAAAUGGUUACAAAGCCAGGAACCAUACAGUUUACAACGACCAUUAAGGAGACCACAGAAUAGAACGGAAAUCGUUGUGGCCGGGAUAGAUGACCAAUGGUCUGCUGACCUUAUGGAUAUGGUGAAGUUUUCAAAAUACAAUAAAGAAUAUAAAUACGUAUUGGUAGUCAUUGGUGUGUUUUCAAAGUAUUUAUGGCUACGUAAACUAAAAGAUAAAAAAGGAGAGUCCGUGGCAACUGCAUUUCAAGACAUAUUUCAAACAGGAAGAGUUCCAAAUAAAAUACGAACGGAUAUGGGACAGGAGUUCAAGGCAAAGAGAGUUCAGACAGUUUUUAAAAAGGAAGAGAUUAAUCAUUUUUAUGCGUUUAAUGAGGUCAAAGCAUCAGUGUCCGAGCGUGUUAUAAAAACAAUAAAAACGAAAAUAUAUCGCUACUUUUCGUACAAUCAGUCUUACAGAUACAUAGACAAGCUUAAAAGCCUUGUAAACGGAUACAACCAUACUAUUCAUAGCACUAUCGACAUGGCACCUGUAGAAGUGAAAAAGGAAAAUGAAGAAGCUAUUCGCUUAUCGACAUAUUUUUCAAGACCGCAUUCUGGAAUGUUAAAGAAACAGUACCACUUCAGGUUUAAACUUGGAGAUCGAGUUAGACUUACAUAUUUGAGAAAUAUUUUUUCUCGGGAAUAUGACGAAAAAUGGACGGGUGAAGUAUUCACGAUAUCCGGACGAUUCUGGAGAAGCAUGACACCGUUAUUUGAAAUGAAAGGCUACGAAAAAGAAUUUGUGUAUAGAGAAAAAUGUAAAGGAGGAGGUGUAGUUAUUUUUUAUAAGAAAUGGUUAACUCCCUAUACUACUGUAUUGAAUUGUUGUGCAGAUAGUAUGAUCUGGUUAAAAAUUGACAAAAAUGUAUGUUUAAAUGGUUUAGAUUUGUAUAUUUGUGCUAUUUAUAUUCCGCCUGAUAAAAAUGUAUUUUACCGUAAAUAUGAUAUAGAUGUUUUCGAUAUACUGCAAGAAAAUAUUGAACAUUAUAGUACAUUAGGAACUGUGGCUGUGAUAGGCGACUUGAAUGGACGAGUAGGUCUAAAAGCGGACAAUAUAGUUAAUGAUACAUUGGAUAAAGAACUGAUUAACAGUAUUUCUUUUAUUGACUAUGUAAAUGAUAGUUAUAUUUGUAAUAGAAAAUCUGAAGACAUUAAACCUCCAAAUAGUUUUGGUCAGCGUAUAUUGCAGUUAUGCCAGUCGUCCGGUCUACGUAUAUGUAACGGCAGAUUUGGAACAGAUAGUGGGAAAAUAACAUUUAAUAAUAAAAACGGUAGUAGCGUUAUUGAUUAUUUAUUGUUUACACAAAGUGAAAUGUUUAAAAUUUUAAAAUCUUUUUAUGUUGAACCAUUUAAUAUGUAUUCAUGUCAUGCUCCAAUAGUAGCUGAAUUGUACCUUAAGGGUAAUAAUCAGUCUUACGGUCAAUGUCAUUGUAAUAAAACUAAGUUCAAUAUAUUUAACUGGAAUGAAGGGUCAGAAGAUGAUAUCAGAAGUAAAUUGAUACUCAACACACAAAAAGUUUGAUGAUCUACUGGUAAAUUUUGACGAAAACAGCGAUAUAGAUACGUGUGUAGAAAGACUUAAUAAUCUUUUAACUGAUAUAUAUGAACAGUAUACGAAAUCUGAAGUAACAUACAAAGAACAGUGUGAAUUUUGUGAAAAUGGCGAUAAAGUUUAUAAAUCUAAUGCGGACAAGCCUUGGUUUACCGAUGAAUGCAAAACAUUAUACAUACAAUAUCAAAAUGCAUUAGACAGUUUUAACAAAUACCGCUCGGAUGAAAACAGAAUUAACUUUAACCUUUCAAAGCAAAAGUAUAAGUGCUGCGAAACAAGACUUAAAAGACAUUAUAAGAACCAACGAGGAAAUAUGCUGUCGUCACUAAGGAAGAAAAAUCCGAAACGUUUCUAUAAGAAUUUUAAAAAACGUAAAAAGCGCAUUAAAAAUAACAUUUCAUUAAACCAAUUCGAGGAACAUUUUAAGAAACUUAUGUCUAAACCGCCCGAAGUGAAUGUUGGAACGAGUGAUACUCCGGAAACAGUUUUUGAGGAACUUGAUCUUCCGUUUACAGAAAAAGAACUGGAUUCGUGCAUCAAAAAACUAAAAAGAGACAAGUCGACUGGUUAUGAUGAUAUAAUGAAUGAGUAUAUACUGUUUGGUAAAACUUUAUUGAAACCUGUACUUUGCAAACUGUUCAACAAUAUUUUAUGUGCUGGAAAUUUUCCUGAAAUAUGGGUGAAAUGUAUUUUAAUUCCAAUUUUUAAGAAAGGAAAUCCUGACGAUCCUGGAAACUACAGAGGUAUUUCGUUGGUGUCCCAUUUAGGAAAACUAUUUACGUCGUUGAUUAAUUCAAGACUUAAAACAUGGUGCAAGAUUAACAACACUCUGACAGAUGCACAAUUUGGAUUCCGUCCUGGAUACGGCACUUCUGAUGCCAUCUUCUGUCUUCAUUCCCUGAUUUCUAAGUCAUUAAGAAAGGUAAACGCUUAUAUUGCUGUUUUAUCGAUUAUAUUAAAGCGUUUGAUAGUGUUUUUCAUGUAAAAUUGUGGUUGAGAUUAGUUAGAUGUGGCGUUACUGGUAAACUUCUUACUGUAAUUAAAUCUAUGUAUUCUAAAUUGAAAACUAGUAUAAAGUGUAAUGGAAAAAUUUCAGAUUUUUUUAAUUGUAAUACUGGCUUGAUGCAAGGGGAAUCUUUAUCCCCUUUAUUAUACUCGUUGUAUGUCAAUGAUAUGGAAGUAGAGCUAAUCAGUAAUGGCUGUCAGUCAUAUGAAUUGAAAUCCUUAAAUUUAUUUUUACUUAUGUAUGCAGACGACACUGUUUUAUUUAGUGAGAACAUAGAUGAUCUGCAAAAUAUGAUAAAUACUGUAAACUCUUCUGCAGAGGAAUAUGGUUUAUAUAUUAAUAUGUCUAAAACUAAAGUGGUCGUGUUUAGAAAUAGAGGUAGUGUAAAAAGUCAAGAAAAAUGGUUUUUGAAUAACAACCAAAUAGAUAUAUGUGAUAGUUUUGUAUAUUUGGGUAUUCUUUUUAACUAUAAUGGCAGUUUUUUACAUACACAAAAAAUGUUAGCCAAUCAAGGAAGAAAAAGCUGUUUUUGCUUUAUGUAGUAAAAUUGUAGAUGAAUAUUAUAACUGUGAAACGUUACUGUCCUUAUUUGAUACUUAUGUAUCUAGUAUACUUAAUUAUAGCUGUGAAGUGUGGGGUAAUCAUAAAGCUGAUGAUAUAGAGAAAGUACAUUUAUAUUUUUUAAAACGAAUUCUAAAGGUUAGAAAAACUGCUGUAAAUAACAUGGUUUACUGUGAAUUGGGACGUUAUCCAAUGUAUUAUGAAAGACAAAGAAGACUGAUUCAGUUUUGGUUUAAAUUAUUAAAUACUGAUAACUGUAUACUUAAAGCAUGUUAUGAAGAUAUGUUGGAGAGUUCAUUUAAAAAACCCAAUGACAAAUCGAAUUGGGCAUGUUCAGUCAAAGAUAUUUUAUGUAGAUAUGGUUUUCAUGAUGUAUGGCUAAAACAAAGCGUAAAUAAUGUUGAUAUAUUCAUACAUGAGUUAAAACAAAGAAUGAAAGAUACCUUUAUUGCUGAUGCUAAUGCUUUUUUAAUAAUUCAUCAAAAUGUAUACUUUAUAGAUAUAUAUAUGACACAGAUAUACUGCAAUUUUAUUUAGAUAGACCUGUUAAUCAAAUAUAUAAACCUUUUAUAUGUAAAUAUCGUAUAUCCGCCCAUAGCCUCAACAUAGAAACAGGCAGAUAUUACAAUGUAGAUAGAGAAAAUAGAUUAUGUACUAUGUGCAAUAACAAUAUUGUAGAAGAUGAAUACCAUGUUGUUCUAGAAUGUAAUAGAUAUAGUGAUGUAAGAAAACUAUACAUUAAGAAAUAUUAUUGGCAAUGUCCAUCCACUUUUAAACUUAUACAGUUGUUAUCAGUUCACAAUGUGAAAGAACUUAAUAAUUUAGGUAAAUUUUUGUUUAAUAUUGAAAAAAUUCGUAAUAUGUAGUUGUAUUAAUUAUUUAUCAUAUGAAUUUAUUUUCAUU
This 4680-nucleotide small RNA is filed under the name Mytilus galloprovincialis (Mediterranean mussel). Lineage: Eukaryota; Metazoa; Mollusca; Bivalvia; Mytilida; Mytilidae. The record is from RNAcentral.